Molecule: ribosomal RNA, 484 nt
Filed under: uncultured bacterium
Lineage: Bacteria
Description: partial 16S ribosomal RNA
Rfam family: Bacterial small subunit ribosomal RNA
Source: RNAcentral
AUUGAACGCUGGCGGCAGGCCUAACACAUGCAAGUCGAGCGGAUGAAGGGAGCUUGCUCCUGGUUUCAGCGGCGGACGGGUGAGUAAUGCCUAGGAAUCUGCCUGGUAGUGGGGGAUAACGUCCGGAAACGGGCGCUAAUACCGCAUACGUCCUGAGGGAGAAAGUGGGGGAUCUUCGGACCUCACGCUAUCAGAUGAGCCUAGGUCGGAUUAGCUAGUUGGUGGGGUAAAGGCCUACCAAGGCGACGAUCCGUAACUGGUCUGAGAGGAUGAUCAGUCACACUGGAACGGAGACACGGUCCAGACUCCUACGGGAGGCAGCAGUGGGGAAUAUUGGACAAUGGGCGAAAGCCUGAUCCAGCCAUGCCGAGUGUGUGAAGAAGGUCUUCGGAUUGGAAAGCACUUUAAGUUGGGAGGAAGGGCAGUAAGUUGAUACCUUGCUGUUUUGACGUUACCAACAGAAGAAGCACCGGCUAACUUCGUG